AGUGAACGCUGGCGGUAGGCCUAACACAUGCAAGUCGAACGGCAGCACAGUAAGAGCUUGCUCUUACGGGUGGCGAGUGGCGGACGGGUGAGGAAUACAUCGGAAUCUACUUUUUCGUGGGGGAUAACGUAGGGAAACUUACGCUAAUACCGCAUACGACCUACGGGUGAAAGCAGGGGACCUUCGGACCUUGCGCGAUUGAAUGAGCCGAUGUCGGAUUAGCUAGUUGGCGGGGUAAAGGCCCACCAAGGCGACGAUCCGUAGCUGGUCUGAGAGGAUGAACAGCCCCACUGGAACUGAGACACGGUCCAGAGUCCGACGGGAGGCAGAAGUGGGGAAUAUUGGACAAUGGGCGCAAGCCUGAUCCAGCCAUACCGCGUGGGUGAAGAAGGCCUUCGGGUUGUAAAGCCCUUUUGUUGGGAAAGAAAAGCAGCAGGUUAAUACCCCGCUGUUCUGACGGUACCCAAAGAAUAAGCACCGGCUAACUUCGUG
This 492-nucleotide ribosomal RNA is filed under the name uncultured bacterium. RNAcentral's name for it is "partial 16S ribosomal RNA". It matches the Rfam family "Bacterial small subunit ribosomal RNA", at positions 29 to 507 of the family's 1533-position model. The record is from RNAcentral.